AUGGGUGACCUGAAUGAUAUUCUGUAUGAUACUGAUAUAUAUAGUGGUAGUGUGAAUUACUAUCGUAUGUCUGCUUUCCGUUCCCUGAUAAGAAAUUGCGGUUUCUUUGAUAUUAGUUAUAGUGGGCCUUCUUAUACUUGGCGCAAUAGGCAGCACACAACCAAUCCCAUUUAUCAACGCUUAGAUCAAUGCCUAGUCAAUGCUGAUUGGUGUGCUUGCUAUCCUAAUUCCAAAAUCCUAAAUUUGCCCAUUAUCCUUAGUGACCAUGCUCCCAUUCUUAUUUCCACUGAUGGUAAUUUUCCUAAACCUAGGCAAACUUUCAAAUUUGAAAAUUGGUGGCUACUUGAGAAAGAUUUCAAUGCUUUUGCAAAAAAUGCCUGGAAUAGUGCUAGGACUUCUUCUUUUUCUGCAAAAAUCCUCUUCCCUUGCAGGAUCUUUGAAGAAGUUGUGCAAAAAUAA
RNAcentral lists this ribosomal RNA (459 nucleotides) under Triticum aestivum (bread wheat). RNAcentral describes it as "partial small subunit ribosomal RNA". Lineage: Eukaryota; Viridiplantae; Streptophyta; Magnoliopsida; Poales; Poaceae. The record is from RNAcentral.